CCCGCCCGUCACGCCAUGGAAGCUGUGAGCCGACCGAAGUCCGUGUACCGAAACCCUCACGGGAUCAAGCGGCCGAAGGCGAGCGCAGUGACUGGGGCG
Molecule: ribosomal RNA, 99 nt
Filed under: uncultured bacterium
Lineage: Bacteria
Description: partial 16S ribosomal RNA
Source: RNAcentral